GGCCUGGCUCGCCCGAGGGCGGGCGGCUACGGGCCCCUGCUGCCGAACGGAGGCCGUCCGCUUCCCCCGGCCUCUCUCCGCGGGCCCUACCGCGCCGCCCGCUCCUCUCCCGGGGGUUUCAGUUGCCAGUGCCAAGAGGCAGUCAGGAAGCAGAUCGUCCUGAUUUAUGGCCAGAAGGUCAAUAGCCUAAAGCUAUCUCACAAUGCCUCUGUCAGUCACUUCUCUUCAUCUCAUCGUGUAGGCAGUAUCUCAUCUCACAUCAUCGCAGGAAGGAAAAGAAAGUCGCUAUGAUGCAGUACCCUGGUUUACUGACAGUUCAAUGAGCUUUCUGCUGUAUUGCUAGUCUGUUCACACUCUCUCCAUCACAGGUGUGAGUUUGUAAACCCCAUCCAAUCCGUGUUUCAUCUUAUGGACGAGAAAGCCGAUGAGUUUUGAACCUGGGGUAGAGAGGAGGCAAUGAGGGAUGGAGAUCCUGAACAGAGAGGACAAGGCAGUGUGAUGGCCUCUCCAUCAGUCUGUGGCCUUGUGUCCUAACCAUGCUGAUAGAGAAGAACAGAAAAUGGCCUCUGCAUGAGCCCCCUGUACCUACCCCUCCGGGCACAUACUUCUAUGGUCAGACUAUAGACACCCCAAGUGUCCUCUGUGCCCCCACAAGUGGCAUACGAGCAGUAGCCAGUAGCCUCAGUUUUAAAGGCUGGAGUGUGGCACAAUGAGGCUGGACUCAGAAGAACCAUGUUACAGUAUGACUUUGCCAUGGACCAUCCGUGUGAACCUGAGUGAGUUGCUUGAGGACACCGAGCCUGCCAGUUGGGAAUGAUAACGGCCAUAUACCUAUUUCAUGGACUGAUGUAAAAGGACAGGCGCGAAGCUUUCCAUUUAAAAGCUUUUGUAACUUGAUGUGCUCUGUAUCUGGAAAUGGCUGGAAGGAGAGUCCAGGUCACUUCCCCCUGGGGUGUGCCAGGUGGGUCUAGCAAUGGGCAACAGUGCCUGAGCUCCCUGAUGAACAUACCUCCCUUACCCCAGUAAUCUGACUUUGGGAUCUGCAACUCCAUAUUGAUUUCUUCCAGUCAAGAGUGGUGUGAGACCAGAAGCCAACCAGCUCCAACAAAGUCUUGGUGAGCUUGAAAUGAGCCAGUUUCCUCUGGAUGAGUUUCUUCUGCAGAAUCACGGAAAUGGAGGCUGCCCAGGCCAAUGAAAACCAAAUCUGUCUGCCCUGUCUUGUCAGACACCUCCACCUUCCCCACCAACUGGACACUGAAGCCCCCAACCCUCGCUAAUAUUCCACACCACCCCCCUCACUGUGGGAGCUGGCCAGCACUGGCAAAAGGGGAGCAUCAGUAAUUUUCUCCAAAGGAGCUUGUGCCUAGAGAAACCAAUAUUUAACAUCCCCAUUUACAUUGAAAGCGUGAUUCUGAUUAUGAGAUGGUAAUGAGGGGAUUAGCCAGAGAGAGCCCCCCUGCCUGCCGCCCCCUCCCAUUCUUCUCUCCUUCACCCUGCUCCUGGGCUUACUCCUGGAGGAGGAGGUGUGGGGGGAGGGUGCGGGCACUCCCACUGGGAGAGCAUCAGAGAUGCCAGAGCAGGGCAGGGGUCCUCCAAGACCCCAUCUGAGGACCCCUUAUUCAUGUCUGGAAUCAAUUAGCCUUAGAAGAGGUGAUGGGUGAGAUGAGACACCUGACUCUGAGGGCCCUUCCUUUCAUUCUUUUCCCUAGACUCUGCUGAGACCCUCUACUCUCUGGUUCUGUUCCAUAUUUCAGAUGGGGGAACUUCUUAGGUCACGCUUUCCCUCUGAGGUAGAGGAGUGAAGUACAAAAGUCUGUUGGGAGAACUUUUGCUUGGCUCCUGGCUUCUCUGACUUCAUCCCAAACCCAGCCUCCUCCCCUAAAUCCCCUGCCUCUCUGGACCAGCAUCCUUGUUGUCCUUGUCCCAGACCCUGCCUUUUAACCAGGCAGCAGUUUAUCUCUGGCUCUUCUUGUGGGGUGAGGGGUGGGGGAAGGAGAGAACCCAAGGGGGUCACCCAUCCUGAGGCCCCGUUUGUUGGUGGACAAUUGCGCUCAGACAGGAUAAUUCAGUGUGUGAUUGUGGUCACGCCCCCCCCUUUUGUGCCCCUUUCAGAGCCAAUCUCCCAGGCCCAGAUGGGUUAAUCCAUAAUGCAGACGAGCAAGUAAUUGGCUGUCAGCCCAGCCCCCUGCACCCCCUCCCCUAUUAGUGCCACUGCCCUAAUGAAGCCCAGCUUGGAGAGCCCCCUUCUCAAUGAGGCGCCAGCCCCAACCCAGCCAGGCACACAUGUGUCUCCGCUCCUCUGCCUGAAGCCUGGCUCCCUUUAGGGACCCCCAGCCCAGCCUCCCCGGGGUGACCCAGCUGUCAGGGCUGCAGCGGCCCCGGGGGGAGGCUGUGAUGGAUGGGAGGGAGUUAGUUAAUAGAGCCCAAAACACAUGGGCCCUGUCCCCACACCGACCCUCCCCCCUCACACACACACUUUUACAGCUUCCUCUGACAGCAGCCCUAGCCUUUUGAAAUAGUCCCAUAGAAUAUUUCCUCACUCCCCUCUCCAACCUAAGCGGUGCCAAAAUAGGGCCCAAAAGGGGGCCAUGAAGCUGCUUCUUUGGACACUGGCCCAAGUCAUUGCUGUUCACACUAUCCCCAACCUCUGCCAAUCUAGGUCUUCUUGUGGGUUUUGGGCAGAGAUGGCUCAUGGCAAUGUUAAAAAGGGGAACUUGGCCCUCAGUCUCCAGUGUCUCAACUGUUAUUGAAAUCAUAACGAGAGAUUUCUUUUCCUUUGAUUCUUGGAUUCCAUCUCUGUUCCUUGAUCCCAUUUCUCUUCCGAACCACUUCCUGACCAAUACUUCAGCUAGAGACAAAGCUAGGUCUGUAGCAGAUAUCCACAGAAAAGAGCUGUUCUCUUUGUUGGAGCUGCCUCAUCAUGGACUAGGCUUCCCUGCCAGCCUUUAAGCUCCCUGUCUCUGGAAGGAUUCAAGCCAAGGCUGGAUAAGGUCUGUUUGAAAUGUCAUAGAGGGACGUUUGGGGAGGAUAUUUGCAAAGGGACCUACCACUCUUGGAUUCCUUGCAUUUAUGUCCUAUUCCCUCAUCUCUGUUCGCUCCUUUCCCCCAUGAAGAGAGUGGUGGCUUUGCUGGGCCUUUUUCCAAACCAGUGGAGGAAAGUUGAGAUUGCCUGCUGCCUGGGUUGGGCUGCUCCUACAUUCAUGCCCACUGAAGCAGGGGCUUUAUGUCCUGAGGAGAGUCCUGGACCCAUAACCUCCCUGUCUUCCUUCCUCUACUUAACACUUUAAAAAUGAUAAUUUUAGGGGCACCUGGGUAGCUCAGUCAGUAGGCGUCUGACUUUGGCUCAGGUCACGAUCUCAUGGCUUGUGGGUUUGAGCCCCACAUAGGACUCUGUGCUGACAACUCAGAGCCUGGAGCCUACUUCAGAUUCUGUGUCUCCUUCUCUCUGCCCCUCCCCUGCUUGCGCUCUGUCUCUCUUUCCUUCAAAAAUAAAUAAACAUUAAUUGUUUUUUAAAAA
This is a long non-coding RNA of Neofelis nebulosa (Clouded leopard), 3517 nucleotides long. RefSeq lists it as uncharacterized. The record is from RefSeq and is a predicted model, not a curated record. Lineage: Eukaryota; Metazoa; Chordata; Mammalia; Carnivora; Felidae. The transcript has 5 exons.